Molecule: ribosomal RNA, 333 nt
Filed under: uncultured bacterium
Lineage: Bacteria
Description: bacterial SSU rRNA
Rfam family: Bacterial small subunit ribosomal RNA
Source: RNAcentral
CGCGUAGGCGGUGCGGUAAGUCACCUGUGAAAUCCCCGGGCUUAACUCGGGGCCUGCAGGCGAAACUGCCGUGCUGGAGGGUGGGAGAGGUGCGUGGAAUUCCCGGUGUAGCGGUGAAAUGCGUAGAGAUCGGGAGGAACACCUGUGGCGAAAGCGGCGCACUGGACCACUACUGACGCUGAUGCGCGAAAGCUAGGGGAGCAAACAGGAUUAGAUACCCUGGUAGUCCUAGCCCUAAACGAUGAUUGCUUGGUGUGAUCGGUACCCAAUUCCGAUUGUGCCGCAGCUAACGCGAUAAGCAAUCCGCCUGGGGAGUACGGUCGCAAGGCUGAA